RNAcentral lists this ribosomal RNA (760 nucleotides) under Prevotella melaninogenica. RNAcentral describes it as "bacterial SSU rRNA". It matches the Rfam family "Bacterial small subunit ribosomal RNA", at positions 28 to 776 of the family's 1533-position model. The record is from RNAcentral. Lineage: Bacteria; Pseudomonadati; Bacteroidota; Bacteroidia; Bacteroidales; Prevotellaceae.
GAUGAACGCUAGCUACAGGCUUAACACAUGCAAGUCGAGGGGAAACGGCAUUAAGUGCUUGCACUUUUUGGACGUCGACCGGCGCACGGGUGAGUAACGCGUAUCCAACCUUCCCAUGACUAAGGGAUAACCUGCCGAAAGGCAGGCUAAUACCUUAUGGUCUUCACUGACGGCAUCAGAUGUGAAGUAAAGAUUUAUCGGUUAUGGAUGGGGAUGCGUCUGAUUAGUUAGUUGGCGGGGUAACGGCCCACCAAGGCAACGAUCAGUAGGGGUUCUGAGAGGAAGGUCCCCCACAUUGGAACUGAGACACGGUCCAAACUCCUACGGGAGGCAGCAGUGAGGAAUAUUGGUCAAUGGGCGAGAGCCUGAACCAGCCAAGUAGCGUGCAGGACGACGGCCCUAUGGGUUGUAAACUGCUUUUGUAUGGGGAUAAAGUCAAUCACGUGUGAUUGUUUGCAGGUACCAUACGAAUAAGGACCGGCUAAUUCCGUGCCAGCAGCCGCGGUAAUACGGAAGGUCCGGGCGUUAUCCGGAUUUAUUGGGUUUAAAGGGAGCGUAGGCUGGAGAUUAAGUGUGUUGUGAAAUGUAGACGCUCAACGUCUGACUUGCAGCGCAUACUGGUUUCCUUGAGUACGCACAACGUUGGCGGAAUUCGUCGUGUAGCGGUGAAAUGCUUAGAUAUGACGAAGAACUCCGAUUGCGAAGGCAGCUGACGGGAGCGCAUCUGACUCUGAAGCUCGAGGUGCGGGUAUCGAACAGG